CCUGUACUUCUGGUUACUGCGAUGGAGGGACGGAGAAGGCUAGGCCAGCUUGGCGUUGGUUGUCCAAGUUUAAGGUGGUAGGCUGAAAUCUUAGGUAAAUCCGGGGUUUCAAGGCCGAGAGCUGAUGACGAGUCGUCUUUUAGAUGACGAAGUGGUUGAUGCCAUGCUUCCAAGAAAAGCUUCUAAGCUUCAGGUAACCAGGAACCGUACCCCAAACCGACACAGGUGGUCGGGUAGAGAAUACCAAGGCGCUUGAGAGAACUCGGGUGAAGGAACUAGGCAAAAUGGCACCGUAACUUAGGGAGAAGGUGCGCCGGCUAGGGUGAAGGAUUUACUCCGUAAGCUCUGGCUGGUCGAAGAUACCAGGCCGCUGCGACUGUUUAUUAAAAACACAGCACUCUGCAAACACGAAAGUGGACGUAUAGGGUGUGACGCCUCCCCGGUGCCGGAAGGUUAAUUGAUGGGGUUAGCGCAAGCGAAGCUCUUGAUCGAAGCCCCGGUAAACGGCGGCCGUAACAAUAACGGUCCUAAGGUAGCGAAAUUCCUUGUCGGGUAAGUUCCGACCUGCACGAAUGGCGUAACGAUGGCGGCGCUGUCUCCACCCGAGACUCAGUGAAAUUGAAAUCGCUGUGAAGAUGCAGUGUAUCCGCGGCUAGACGGAAAGACCCCGUGAACCUUUACUGUAGCUUUGCACUGGACUUUGAGCCUGCUUGUGUAGGAUAGGUGGGAGGCUUUGAAGCGUGGACGCCAGUUCGCGUGGAGCCAUCCUUGAAAUACCACCCUGGCAUGCUUGAGGUUCUAACUCUGGUCCGUAAUCCGGAUCGAGGACAGUGUAUGGUGGGCAGUUUGACUGGGGCGGUCUCCUCCUAAAGAGUAACGGAGGAGUACGAAGGUGCGCUCAGACCGGUCGGAAAUCGGUCGCAGAGUAUAAAGGCAAAAGCGCGCUUGACUGCGAGACAGACACGUCGAGCAGGUACGAAAGUAGGUCUUAGUGAUCCGGUGGUUCUGUAUGGAAGGGCCAUCGCUCAACGGAUAAAAGGUACUCCGGGGAUAACAGGCUGAUACCGCCCAAGAGUUCAUAUCGACGGCGGUGUUUGGCACCUCGAUGUCGGCUCAUCACAUCCUGGGGCUGAAGCCGGUCCCAAGGGUAUGGCUGUUCGCCAUUUAAAGUGGUACGCGAGCUGGGUUUAGAACGUCGUGAGACAGUUCGGUCCCUAUCUGCCGUGGACGUUUGAGAUUUGAGAGGGGCUGCUCCUAGUACGAGAGGACCGGAGUGGACGAACCUCUGGUGUUCCGGUUGUCACGCCAGUGGCAUUGCCGGGUAGCUAUGUUCGGAAAAGAUAACCGCUGAAAGCAUCUAAGCGGGAAACUUGCCUCAAGAUGAGAUCUCACUGGGAACUUGAUUCCCCUGAAGGGCCGUCGAAGACUACGACGUUGAUAGGCUGGGUGUGUAAGCGUUGUGAGGCGUUGAGCUAACCAGUACUAAUUGCCCGUGAGGCUUGACC
RNAcentral lists this ribosomal RNA (1505 nucleotides) under metagenome. RNAcentral's name for it is "bacterial LSU rRNA". It matches the Rfam family "Bacterial large subunit ribosomal RNA", at positions 1438 to 2925 of the family's 2925-position model. The record is from RNAcentral.